RNAcentral lists this transfer RNA (74 nucleotides) under Candidatus Roizmanbacteria bacterium RIFCSPHIGHO2_12_FULL_33_9. RNAcentral's name for it is "tRNA-Glu". It matches the Rfam family "tRNA". Rfam says of the family: Transfer RNA (tRNA) molecules are approximately 80 nucleotides in length. Their secondary structure includes four short double-helical elements and three loops (D, anti-codon, and T loops). The record is from RNAcentral. RNAcentral also lists the same sequence under 2 other names. Lineage: Bacteria; Candidatus Roizmaniibacteriota.
GGCGCGUUCGUCUAGUGGCCUAGGACGCCACCCUUUCAAGGUGGAGAUCGCCAGUUCGAAUCUGGUACGCGCCA